CCCUGUCCGGGCCGCCCCUCCUGGCAGCGCAUUCGGAUCCAAUGGUCGGAGAUGUUGAGGAUCACCAAUGGGUGCAGCGCGACCGCAACGCUGCCCGGGACCCCCCCCGCCAUCACCGGCGGCGCUGCCGCGUCCACCUCCAUCCCGGCGCCGUUACUCCCCGCGGCCGCCGCCGCUCCUCCUCCCGCCGCCGCAGCCGCCGCCGCCGCCAUUGCCGCCGGACGGCGCCGCACUGCGCAUGCGCCGGCCGGAAGGGGCGGGGUUUCCGGCUGCGCGCACGCGCGGAGCGGAAGAGGGAGGUUGGCGCAUGCGCAGCGAGCGCGAAUCGCACCGCGCAUGUGCAGAACGAGCCGGCACG
This 358-nucleotide long non-coding RNA is filed under the name Gallus gallus (chicken). The record is from RNAcentral. Lineage: Eukaryota; Metazoa; Chordata; Aves; Galliformes; Phasianidae.